RNAcentral lists this ribosomal RNA (405 nucleotides) under uncultured bacterium. Its description in RNAcentral is "partial 16S ribosomal RNA". It matches the Rfam family "Bacterial small subunit ribosomal RNA", at positions 30 to 526 of the family's 1533-position model. The record is from RNAcentral.
AUUGAACGCUGGCGGCAGGCUUAACACAUGCAAGUCGAACGAGUGGCGGACGGGUGAGUAAUGCUUGGGAAUCUAGCUUAUGGAGGGGGAUAACUACGGGAAACUGUAGCUAAUACCGCGAACUAUAGGAUGAGCCCAAGUGGGAUUAGGUAGUUGGUGAGGUAAAGGCUCACCAAGCCGACGAUCUCUAGCUGGUCUGAGAGGUGGACCAGCCACACGGGGACUGCGACACGGCCCAGACUCCGACGGGAGGCAGCAGUGGGGAAUAUUGCGCAAGGGGGGCAAUCGGACGCAGCCAGGCCGCGUGAAUGAAGAAGGCCUUCGGGUUGUAAAGUUUUUUCAGUAGGGAGGCGUUAACUGCAGAAGAAGCACCGGCUAACUCCGUGCCAGCAGCCGCGGUAAUUC